AACGAACGCUGGCGGCAUGCCUAACACAUGCAAGUCGAACGAGACCUUCGGGUCUAGUGGCGCACGGGUGCGUAACGCGUGGGAAUCUGCCCUUGGGUUCGGAAUAACAGUUAGAAAUGACUGCUAAUACCGGAUAAUGUCUUCGGACCAAAGAUUUAUCGCCCAGGGAUGAGCCCGCGUAGGAUUAGCUAGUUGGUGAGGUAAAGGCUCACCAAGGCGACGAUCCUUAGCUGGUCUGAGAGGAUGGUCAGCCACACUGGGACUGAGACACGGCCCAGACUCCUACGGGAGGCAGCAGUGGGGAAUAUUGGACAAUGGGCGAAAGCCUGAUCCAGCAAUGCCGCGUGAGUGAUGAAGGCCUUAGGGUUGUAAAGCUCUUUUACCCGGGAUGAUAAUGACAGUACCGGGAGAAUAAG
Molecule: ribosomal RNA, 416 nt
Filed under: uncultured bacterium
Lineage: Bacteria
Description: bacterial SSU rRNA
Rfam family: Bacterial small subunit ribosomal RNA
Source: RNAcentral